Small nucleolar RNA from Monomorium pharaonis (pharaoh ant), 75 nucleotides. The record is from RefSeq and is a predicted model, not a curated record. NCBI's taxonomy places the organism in Eukaryota, Metazoa, Arthropoda, Insecta, Hymenoptera, Formicidae.
AUAUACAUGAUGACAAAUAAAACAACAAUUGAUAGUACUACGAUGAUAUUUAUGAGCUUUUUAACACUGAAUACA